RNAcentral lists this ribosomal RNA (468 nucleotides) under uncultured bacterium. RNAcentral's name for it is "partial 16S ribosomal RNA". It matches the Rfam family "Bacterial small subunit ribosomal RNA", at positions 28 to 507 of the family's 1533-position model. The record is from RNAcentral.
GACGAACGCUGGCGGUGUGCUUAACACAUGCAAGUCGAACGGUAAGGCCCUUUCGGGGGUACACGAGUGGCGAACGGGUGAGUAACACGUGAGUAACCUGCCCUCAUCUCUGGGAUAACAGUCGGAAACGGUUGCUAAUACUGGAUAUGAGCUUGCAAGGCAUCUUGUGGGUUGGAAAGAUUUUUUUUGGUUGGGGAUGGACUCGCGGCCUAUCAGCUUGUUGGUGAGGUAGCGGCUCACCAAGGCUUCGACGGGUAGCCGGCCUGAGAGGGCGACCGGCCACAUUGGGACUGAGAUACGGCCCAAACUCCUACGGGAGGCAGCAAUGGGGAAUAUUGCACAAUGGACGGAAGUCUGAUGCAGCAACGCCGCGUGCGGGAUGACGGCCUUCGGGUUGUAAACCGCUUUCAAUUGUGACGAAGCUUUUUUGUGACGGUAGCAGUAGAAGAAGCACCGGCUAACUACGUG